CAGCAGAACCAUAUAGCAGCGAAUUAAUUAAGGGGAUUAAGCGACAUCAUCUCGGGAUAGCAGAUCCUUGUUAUUUCGUGGAAUUGGUGCUUGUUUUUGUAUAUGUGACAGAAACCUGAAGCACCAAAGAUUGAGAAAAUUCGCAGCAAGGAACCAGGGACUUAUAAUUCAUCCUUUCUCUCCUUUUUCUACGUUUCACGUGGCUAAAAGCACUCGUGCUCAGAUACUAGAGCAAGCUCGCCAUAUUCCAUUGCCUCUAAGUGAAAGCUUAUCAUCAGAAUAAGAAACGGAAGAUAUUUUCAAGAUGGUUAACCGUACAUUGAAGCAUCUUGUUGUUCCUACAUUUGAUCCGAACUUACUCUGCAUACUGGCCAAUGAGACAAAAUGUGAGAUUAAGCCUGGUCUGAUUAAAGCAUUACCCACAUUUUUAGGCUUCCGUAAUACUAGCUCUUUGGGUUCGGUUUACAUGAACGAGGCGAACAGGUUUUUGAAGGAAUUUCACAUGGCAUGUGCAGUGAUAAAACCUGCUGGUGUCACCCUAGACCAACUCAUGUUAAAGGCAUUUCCUUUUGCCUUGACUGAUGCUGCUAAGGAAUGGUUGUUUGGUUUACCUUCAGGAACCAUAACAACCUAGACGCAUAUGCAAGAGAAAUUCAUAGAAAAAUAUUUUCCAGCAUCUUUGGCAGCUAAUAUUAGAAAAGAAAUAUGUGGGAUUCGAUAGGAAAAUGUAGAGACACUUCAUGAGUAUUGGGAGUGUUUCAAGAAGCUUUGUGAUAGUUGUCCUAAUCAUCAAAUCAGUGAGCAAUUAUUAGUACAGUAUUUUUAUGAAGGCCUCAUAGAUCCGGAUAGGAACUUAAUUGAUGCUGCAAGUGGGGGAGCCUUGGUUGAUAAGACACCCACGGAAGCAAAGAAACUGAUAGAAAACAUAGCUGCAAAUUCUCAGUAUCAAGGAGGUUAAAAUAUCAAAUCCACUUUUGUACGUCAAGUAAAUGAAGUGACGAGUUCUAACCUCAAGCAACAAGUAGCCAAUCUUACUUCCUUGGUGGAGCGAGUGAUGAUCGAAAAAGGGCAAGAAAAAGCAUGUGGUAUUUGUUCAACAAUAGGACAUCAUACUGAUAUGUGUUCUACUAUGCAAGAGGAACAAGAGAAUUCCGUUGGUGGUGUUCACGAGCCGCAAAAGCGAUAUGACCCUUUCUCUUAAACAUACAAUCCUAGGUGGAAAGAUCACCCAAAUCUGAGAUAUGGGAACAAUAGACGGCAAGGAGGAAGCUCCAACUUCAAACCACCAGCCUUCUAACAGCAGCAAACAUCCAUUCCACCACCUAGUUUCACUCAUUUUCAACCGCAAUAUCAACCAAGACCUCAAGGCCAGCAAGUUUUAUCUCAAUAACCACAAUCUAGUGGCAUGUCUCUAGAAGACAUUGUUAAGACAAUGGCCAACAACACUGUGCAAUUUCAGCAAGAAACGAGAAGUGGGCUGAAGAACAUAGAAAAUCAAGUUUCUCAACUAGUGCCUAGCCAACCGGAGAGAAACUCUAAGGAGAAUGCAAGUGCUAUUUCACUUAGAAGUGGCAAGCAACUAGAGGUUCCAGCAAUAAGCUAGACUGAAGUGGUGCGACAACAAGAAAAAGAAGAGACAACUGCAGUAGAGAAAGUAGAGCAGCAAUCUGAGGUAAGUAAUUAUGCUUCUACUCAUAAUAAUUCUUUUUCUUCUCCUGUUCCUUUUCCUAGUAGGUUAGAAACUAAAAAUAAGAAGCAAGAGUUAGAAAAGGAAGUGUUGGAUGUUUUUCGCAAGGUGGAGAUAAACAUACCUUUACUAGAAGCGAUAAGACAAGUGCCACGCUAUGCUAAGUUCAUGAAGGAUUUGUGCACUAACAAGUGGAGAUUGAAUGGAGAUGAAAAGGUCAGCAUAAGGGAGAAUGUAUCUGUUGUCUUAUAGAGGAAAAUUCCUCCAAAUUCCAAGGAUCCAGGUAUUUUUACUAUACCAUGUAGAAUUGGUAACUCGAGGUAUGAGAGGUGUAUGUAAAAUGUAGGAGCUUCUAUUAAUGUGAUGCCUUUAUCUAUUUUUUAAGCUCUAAACUUAGGUCCUUUGAAUGAUACUCGUGUUAUCAUUCAACUUACUGAACAUUCUAAUACGUACCCUAUAGGGGUGAUUGAGGAUGUCUUGGUACAAGUAAAUAAAAAUGUAUUUCGUGCUGAUUUCUAUGUGUUAGAUAUGCCAAAUGAUGAAUCUCUUAAUGCAGCACCGAUAUUAUUAGGGAGACCUUUUAUGAAAACAUCUAGAACUAAUAUUGAUGUUCAUAGUGGGGUUCUAACCAUGGACUUUGAUGGGGAGGUUAUUCGUUUUAAUUUAUUUAAUGCAAUGAGAUACCCCUCUGAUUAUGAAUUCGUUUCUAAGAUAGAUAUCGUUGAUGCAUUAACUAAGCAAGUCUAUUUUCUUUCUGGUCAUGAUGCAUUAGAUGUUGUUUUGACUAAACAUGUGGAAAAAGAGCAAUACACUGACCUGCAGGAACAUUUUAAGCUAGAAGACGAAGUUGAAAAAGCUUUCUUUUCUCUAGAAAUAAGCAAGGAAGGUAUACUGAUCAGUUUAUGAGAUUGCCUAUUAGUUCUAAUAGGUUAUUGCCUUCCGUUGUGAAGCCACCUGAAGUGGAUAUAAAGCCACUGCCUGACCAUCUGAAGUAUGCUUUUUUAGGCAAAAAUAACACUUUACCAGUCAUAAUUGCAAGCAAUCUUACUUCAAUCCAGGAGGAGAAACUUAUUAAGGUGUUGGAGGAACAUAAGACAGCUUUGGGGUGGACGGUUGUUGAUAUAAAAGGGAUUAGUCCCUCUAUGUGUCAACAUAGAUACUUAUUAGAAGAGAGAUCUAAACCAGUGCGGCAAGUGUAAAGGCGACUUAACCCACCAAUGAUGGAAGUGGUGAAGAAAGAAGUUAUGAAACUUCUUGAUGUGGGGGUGAUAUACCCAAUUUCUGAUAGUUCAUGGGUCAAUCCUUUACAGGUUGUUCCAAAAAAGUCUGGAGUCACAGUGGUGAAAAAUGAUAAGGGGGAAAUGGUACCCACUCGAGUGCAAAAUGGGUGGAGGGUCUGUGUAAAUUAUAGGAAACUCAAUUCUAUGACUCGAAAAGAUCAUUUUCCUUUACCUUUUAUCGAUCAAAUGGUUGAACGUCUUGCUAGGCAUGCUUAUUACUAUUAUCUUGACAGGGUUAUUCUGGCUAUGUGCAGGUACAUAUAGCUUCGGAAGAUCAAGAAAAAACGACCUCAAAUGUCCAUACGGUACCUUUUCCUACCGUCGCUUGCCUUUUGGAUUGUGCAACGCUCCAGCUACUUUUUAGAGAUGUAUGGUAAGCAUUUUUUCAGAUUACCUUGAGAAAUUCAUCGAACUCUUCAUUGACGACUUCACUGUACAUGGAGACUCCUUUGAUAGUAGCUUAGAACAUCUUACAUUGGUUCUCAAACAAUGUCUUGAAACUAACCUUGUGCUCAAUUCUGAAAAAAUGAAAUUUUAUGGUUAAAUAAAGUAUAGUUUUGGGUCAUAUUGUGUCUUCUGAUGGAAUAAAAGUUGAUAAAGCUAAGAUAGACCUUAUUUCUUCUUGCCUUAUCCUAAUUCUGUUCGAGAAGUACGUCCUUUUCUUGGCCAUGCAGGGUUUUAUCGCAUGUUUAUUAAAGGAUUUUCAAAGAUUGCACAUCCGUUAUGCAGACUUCUUCAAGAAGUGGAGUUUUCAUUCGAUGAGGCCUAUAAGCAAGCAUUUAACAAGCUGAAAGAGAAGUUGAUCACUGCCCCUGUUCUACAACUUCCUAACUGAGAGCUUCCGUUCAAGCUGAUGUGCGAUGCUUCCAACUAUGCUGUGGGGGUAGUAUUAGGCCAGCAAGUUGGAAAGAUUCCCCAUGCCAUCUACUAUGCCUCGAGGACUUUGGAUGCGGCUAAAGCUAAUUAUACUACAACUGAAAAAGAACUUUUUGCUAUAGUUUUUUAUUUAGAAAAAUUCAGGUCUUAUUUAUUGGGUACUAAAAUUGUUAUGUUUACUGAUCAUGUAACGCUGAAAUUUUUAUGGUCAAAGGAUGUAUCCAAACCUAGGCUAAUACGUUGGAUUUUA
Chenopodium quinoa (quinoa) is the source of this 4093-nucleotide long non-coding RNA. RefSeq lists it as uncharacterized. The transcript is spliced from 2 exons. Lineage: Eukaryota; Viridiplantae; Streptophyta; Magnoliopsida; Caryophyllales; Amaranthaceae. The record is from RefSeq and is a predicted model, not a curated record.